Gallus gallus (chicken) is the source of this 8404-nucleotide long non-coding RNA. RefSeq lists it as uncharacterized. Lineage: Eukaryota; Metazoa; Chordata; Aves; Galliformes; Phasianidae. The transcript has 3 exons. The record is from RefSeq and is a predicted model, not a curated record.
GCGCGACGCGGGCCGAGGGCUGUAACGUGUGCGCACUGCCGUGCAGGCAGCGCCUGGGGCGGGGGCGUGAGGGCUGAGGCUGCGUACUGCGCUCAUCAGAUUUAUUGCUUUUCUCUAACAUGAGAGAAUAGUUGUAUAACUUCUUUGGAGCUGCAUGGGCCUACCAGCCUUCCAGAUUAUGGACUCCAGACCCCAAAUGAGGCUUCUGUAAUAUCCUUUCAUUGGCUCAUCUGUUUUAAGGAACAGGAGCUUGCUAGUAAAAUUUGCACCCCUAGCUGCUGAACUCUAGAAAUGAUGGAGGAUGCCUUUUUACUGUUGAUCUGAUGCAGUGCACGAAGGGUAGUUCUAACAGGUUACGUUACAGUUACUGUCUGUAGAUUCCUUAUUUUUUACACACUGCUGGGUAUUUGAUGUGAUGUGCUUGUCCAGCUUCAUGUUUCAAAGAUUGAGUUCUGUUGCUUUUUUCACCCCUUUUCUAUGUGCCACCUCUGGUAUGAUUAAAACAUCACAACACUUCAGAUGCAGCCUACAUGCUGCUUCUUUGUUCAAAGGCCACCUCUUUUAAAAGGUCAGUUCCAGUAGCAGCCCUGAUGGUCCCUAGUGCUACAAAAACUAACCCCUUUUGAAACAUCAGUGUGCAAAAUAGUCCUGCAGCCAGUGCACCUGACAGCUGAUUCAAAUGUGAAUAUUCUGAUAAUGCAGAAACUUCUGUCAUUUAUCCUAUUUUUGUGUGUCUGCAUGGAGCUGUGAAUCAAACAUUGCUGUUGAUGUGGAUGCUCCGUCUUAACCCUCUUCUUGCUCCUGUCCAUUUGUGACCUUGAGGUCGGUCUUCAGUUUUUCAGCAAAGCAGACUCUUCAUUGUGGUUUCUAGUGUGAUAAGUCCUGGCUACCAUCCAUGUUUGCCAAAUAUCAGUGUUUUUACUUAUUCGGUGAGAGCAGUUCCCAGCAUCUUUUCCUCAUUGCUAUGCUGUACUCAUUUUACAUGCAAGGGGCAAUUAUAAAAUGGUUCAAGCUGGGAAAACAUAUCAGAAUAAUUUCCUGUAUCACGCAGGGCAUCAGAACAAGCACAAAAAGCCAACUCUUACAAACAAAACCACCUAAUCUACAUGCAGCCUAACUCCAUGUACUUGUAUGUCAGCCUAUAUUAUGUAUACCUGUUAAAAUUACGGUGGGUAGUAAGAAUUGCAACCACUGGAUGCAGUAAAUAGCAGUAUUCUUGUAAGAAUACAUUUUUACUCUAAAUGAAGAACUUUAAUAUACUGUCAGCCUUCAGCCACCCUUCUUGCUGGCCAUACUUCAGCUUGUUUUCAUUUAUCAGCUGAAUUCUCAUUCCAUGACCUGCUGUUGAAUAGAUUUCAUUAAUUGACUGAAUUUCUUCUGUAUUUUUACCUGUACCACACGUUUUGUCUCACACCAGACUGAUGUAUAGAUAUUUAUUCUAAUAUGGUUGCCAGAGUAUUUCAACUGGUUUUAUUCCCUCUGUUUCAGAACCAAAAGAGCUGAAAUGAGUAAAUGUUUAAAGACUUUGACGUUGGGAAAGUAGUGUUCUUGGGAGGAGAAUCAGAAUUAGUAAAUGUUUAAAAGAGAAUGACUCUGUGAACCUUAACUGCUGCAAUAAUAUUCCACUAACAGUGCAGCAGCUAAUAAUUUAGAGAUUUAACAGCAAUUGCAUUUUAGUGGCAUUCUACGUAAUAUUCUCAAUUACAGGUGCUAUUUUGAGUAAGACUAUGCCCCUUCAGAAUUAUUCUUACAUACUUUCCAUCUGCAGUAACACUAAGAUACAGAAUCACUGAGUUUUUGCAGUAAAUAGCGUUAGCUGGGUAUGACUCUAACAAAACCUAAUUGAACUGUGGAAUAACUGAUAAAAGGUCUUGAAACCAUUCCUUUUGUGUUCUAACCUAUUCAUGCAAAGGUGAAGUCAUUGUGCAUCUAAUAGGUUCUCCAAAAAUUAAAAUACUGGGUAACUGUAAUGCUCUCAUUCCCACAGAGGACUAGUAGUUCUGGUUCUAGUGGACUGCCUGAUUUCUAGUAACUGCAUAGCUAGGGGUUGGUGAAUGACUAGCUCUAAGGGACACCUGUGCUAGUUCCACUAUUAAGGGCAGAGUGUCAUACAAGAAUUUACAGAAUUUGCAAUACGUCCCAUGAGGUAACGCAGUUGAUUCUAUCUUCACAGAUCACAUUCAUCAAACAGAUGCAAAACAGAAUACUUCAUAGCAGUUUAGGUUUUCUCUGUCCUUUUCAGUAGACCUGUGUUUACCUGUAGCAUCUGUUCUUCUUAAGGUACGUCAGGUAUAAGGGAAGGCGAAUGUUACAAACAUUCUCUUUCAUCUCAGACUGGAAGCCAUUUAUUCUGUAAAAAACACUCACCUGCCAUUUCUUUGAUCUGUGAAGUCACCCUUUGCAUUAAACAAGUCAACUUAGCCAAAUCUCUCUGGAUAGUACAUGAUGUAAAUAAAUUGCUGGCUGUAAAUUGCAUGCUAACAGUUUUUCUGUUUGUAAAACUUGUUUGGUUUUCUUGUUUGUUUGUUGUAAAAGCAUUAAACGAUUGUCAAAAUGAAACUAUGUAAACUACUAAGCGACGGGGAAUUUGUAGGUGUAGUGUAAACAGGAGUAUUUUCAGGACCACCUUGGUGCUAGUGUCAUGAAAUCCUUCUUUUUAUCCUGGUAAUGCCUAAAAAAGCUAGAACAGGAAUUAGGAUGCUGAAUAAAUAUGUGUAUAUAUGAAUAUAAAUGGUCAGACAGGAUUUAGGUUCUUUCUGCGUAGCAGAGAAGCUUUGGUCUGUGUAGCAAAUCUGUGUCAGGGUGGUUCCUGCUACAACUGGGUGCAACCUCUCAAUCAAAAAUUCCUGGUUCCUGCACUAUCUCUACUCCUUUCUACACUAUUUCUUCCCCUUAAUCUUAACUGCCUAUCCUGCUUCAUUAUCAUGCUGUGCAAGGUGAGUAACUUCUCUAUUUCAGGCUAUUCACUUCACUUUCUGCUGACCCUCGAGCAGCCAUUUGUAUUAUAUUAUCUCUUAGGUGUUUACGCAUUUCAUGAUUAAGUAAUUGGUGCUAUGAACUUUCUACCUCACCUUAUCUUCUUGCUUUUUAUCAAAACUGAGGGUUAUUCAGAUAUUUCAGUGUUUUCAUAAAUGUAAUAUUUUUGUUAGUUGCUACAUACUUGUUUUACUCCUGAUUAAUUAAUCUUAAUUCCCACACAAAUGACCACUAGACAGUGACGAUAGGAAAGGAGAUUGUCACAUCAGGCAGUAUUUUUGCAUUUUAUAUCCUGGAAAUCCUGUGAAUAUUUGCAGAAAGCCAAUUGCAUUGUGGUUAAACAUAAUGAAAUAUGAUGUAUCUGUCAUUCCACAGUAGAUUUUUCUAGAACGUCUGUAUGUAGGUCACACCCAAUGUAGGUUGAUGGUCACAAAAAUAUUAGUAUUAUUCAAGAUAACUUGUGGAUAUAUUAUAACAUCAUUUAAUAUUUAUUUAAUAUUUCACGAGGUGUUAUCAACUUCUUGAUACUGGCAUCUAUAAACCCCUUGACAAGGUUUUAUUGCUUCAGCAUAUAUCCUGUAUCUGCUCUAGGGGGAUAGGGCUGAACGUGUUGAAGUUGGAAUGGAGGUACUUGCUCUUAAGAGGAUAAUUGCAACAUUUCACCGUUGUUUGUAGUUGUUCUUUCUUCUUAAUUUGUUAUGCUGAAAGGUGAGAAGCUAUUAUGUGUAUACAAGGAGGAAUAGCUUUGGGAAAUCUUGCCACUUUGUUGGACUUUCAAGAUUAUCUCAGUUGAUAGGGCAACAAAAGAGAAUUGCCUACAGUGACAAUGAUAGAAAGCAGUUAGGCACAAAAAUGAACCUUCAUCCUACAAUUUGAACAGUUUCUGCUUUAGAAGCUGAGUUUUGAUGGUUCAGAAAUGAAGUAUGAAUGGAAGUGGUUUGAGAUCUAUCAUUAGUAUGACACUUCCAAGACACCAGAUAUUAACUGCUCAGGGUUGCGGGGUUUUGCUUUGAUUUAUUUUCCAUAUUACGUGUUUGGAGUUAAUGUCUUUUAUUCGAAACCACUGGGAAGACAUUUAUGUGUGCGCUGGCAACUUCUUGUCUUGUUUCAAGAAAACAGACCUUUCUAUAGAAGCAUGCAGAUGGUGAUACGCCUCUCUUCAUAUUCCUUGUGAAGCUUCCUUCUUGUCUUUGUAGCAAAGUAGUGUAUGUUAUAGGAUUUUGCAGAGUCAAGGCCAUACCUUUUGUAGCAAACAGGGCAGAGUACUUUGCUGCCACUUGGUUUUUAUUGUAGAUAAACGGAGGUCAGGAAGAAUCGUUAUGGUUUAAUGAAUGCAGGUAUAAUUAAUUUAUAGUUGAGUAUAGGAAACACAGAGAUAUCACUGGAUUUUCAGAACUUUGGGGCAAUAUAUUCUUUUUUUUCUUCUUCUUUUUUUUUUCCAAGUUCAGAAGUUCAAAAAGGCAAUCAUUACGCCGUCAUCCAGCUCUGUAGGCAUAUACUUCAGCUUUGCUACAUACCAGAUCCGAGAACUGUCUUGUCAAGACUGAGUAGUUCAGUGCCUGUUUCAUUGUUAAAUCCGGAUAAGCAAUUCAAAUGAAGCCAUCUUCAUGCUCUCUUCUCCUGAGCCCAGCCCAGCAGCCGUACUUUAGAUGCUUUUGCUUUCCAAACCAUAGAAAAAGAUAACUUGCCACUUUCUCAUACAACUAGCUGUCCAGUGGUUCUAAGAACAAUUUGGUAUGAUGGGAAUAGAUGUUGUUUGCUCCAAACAUAAUGCUUCUUAUUUAUUUCUAUGGGUACUACAACAGAUACAAAGAGCACAGUAACACCAUUUGAAUUCCCAGCUACAAAGCACUUUUUUCUGCAUAGUAACCAUUACUAGCUAUCUAUUUUCACCAGCAACAAACAAGAGCCUACAUGCCACGCUUGUAAGAAUCCCACCACCUCACUGUGCUCACAUCCACUGCUUGGUCUCCAUAAACCUUCAGCAAGUGUCAAUAAAUGUCAGGGGUGCAAUUUUUUUUCCUCAUGGAGGAAUUCGGUGACACACUUUUGCUUUGUAUGUACUUCUGUGUCAGACAGCGUUUGUCACACUGCCCCUCUGCUGCCAUCUGUCACACAGCAACAACGUGUAGUGGGGUAUUGGUGAGAAGGCUCAUCCUCUACUGCUGUACCACCAACGUCCGCCUCUGAAGUUGUGGGCCAACAAAAUAAAAUGGGAAGCACUACUUUCAGAGCAACCCUCAUAUAUGUCAUGCUUAAGUUGUAGUGUUAUGUGCUUAGUAUAUGUAAUAUUUAUAUAGUUCAACUAUACUAAGUUAUAUAUAAGUUAAAUAUAUACUAUAUAUACUGAGUUGUGGUCAAAGGACACAAGCAAAGUGAGAUGUAGGAAGAGAAAAAGAGCUGCUGUUUCCUGAACAGCUGCUUAAGCCUGCUUCUCCCAAGCCGUCUCCAAAUUUGGGCCUUCCCUGUCACUCGAAGACAGCACUUGCAGGUUGCCCAGUCAGUACUGAAUGAUGGAAACAUCAACCUGCUAGUCUGGGAUAGCUCAAAAAUGUUGAGUACCAGUGAUUGUUGCGUAAGGAGGUUGUUGUGCUGUAUUAAACCACCUGUCAGUGGUUGCCAAUGUCUUACAUUUGAAUAUCUAUAUCCACCUAGAAAUAAUACUUUGAAGUCUCGAGUUUCAACAAUGGAGCUAUUUUGGUUUUAGCUUGCACAUCAGAAAGAACGUUUUAUUAUAUAUUAAAAUCCUCUUUUUUUCUUUUUGUUGGGGGGGGUUGGGUUACAUUCAUCGUGGUGCUUCUCCAUACUUUGCCUUAUCUGUUUACUUUUGCAAAGUACCUCAAGAUCUCCAAAUUAAACCAACUAUAUAAUUAUAGGACACUGAAUUAAAGACAUUCAGUUUUGUAACUAUGAGGUAGAAUCUGUAGGCUGCAUAAAUUGAAAUGUUACACUUUGGGGUUAAUCUAAUAAAUGUCAACGCAUCCACUUAUGGGAACACUUUUAUUGUUUGUAUUAAUAACUUUUCUUAUUUUUUCCUGCAUCAUUUAGUUUAACUUUUUAUUCACGUUGGGCCCAUUCCUGUUACAGUCUUGUAACAGAACUCAGCUGUACUGCUUUACAAAUUGGCUUCAAUAAAGAUUAUCUAAUUUGAAGUUCUGUUUGUUACUAAGAUAAUGAGUGGUGUAGUACAACAUUCUAAAGAAACACCCUAUUACUGAAGGCCCUCCUACAAAAAAUGCCUCUAUCUGAGGUAAGUGGAAAUUUGUUUGCCAGUCCUGGAGGUGGCAGUAGUUGGCACAGCUGUAAUCCUCACACGUAGACUUGUUAAAAACCUAAAGAAAUGCAGAUGAUUCACUACAUGCUGGUUCUUGUGCUAUGAUCAAACAACCUACCCAUCUCAUUGUUCUGUUGGAUUGUUAAUCCAGUAAUUUUGUGAUCCUGUAUUAAAACAGCAACUAUCUUGAAAUGCUAUUAAGGAUUUUCAACAGGUGAUGGCAUAAAAAAGAUAUUUGUUUUUCUCCAGAACACCUGAGGAACAGGGAGGAAUAUCAUACUAAGGCUUCUAGAAGCAAUGACUAAUUAUUAAACCACUUCCAGUGAUACAGUUAAUGAUCAAAAUGGCAAUGAGAAAGUACAAUGAGAACAGCGGAUUACGCAUAAAAAAGAGGCAGUGUCUUCCAUUUGGUGGUGUAGUGUACAGUUAAUUGUGUUGAAACUGCUUUCUGGAAAUAAACGUAGUUAAAGUCAUGGUGUAUGGGAGCAGUAGGUGUAAUCGAUGCAGACAUUACUAAAGGCUAAGAAAGAUCUCCUAUCGAUUAGGCCGAGUUUUGCGUCGUGACCUCAGCUCCUACUGAGUUUCAUGGGAAACUUAAGAAGUAUCUUCUUUGUUUUGGUUACAUGGGCUGUUGUUUACCUUCCUCUGCCUUCAUUCUUUCAGUACUAAAUAAAUAAAUAAAUAUUUUGCAGGAAUAGAUAAAUUAUAUCUGAAGUCUUCCGAGUUUUGCAAGCCUCUGACGGGUGUGGAUCCUGGCUCCAGUUAGACUGAAUGAUUCAGAAAAAAAAUGUCAGUCUCCUAGAAGAACACAGAAUAUAUUUUUAAAGGGAAACUCUGUGCCUGAAAGUCAUAGAUCAGACAGAGAAAUCUCAUCUAGUUGCUCCUGUGUUGAGGCAGCAUUAAGCUAUACCUGUUAGGUAAUUGAAUUUCUCAUGUUAUUUAUUCCUAGGGAACAUGCCAAGUGGAAAUCAAUAGAUCUCUAUGCUUUUAUAACUGAUAUUCCGCCUAAGAAAAUUUCAGCAGUCCCUUCUCAUGAGCUUUGUUAUACGGAGGAUGUUCUUUCUUCAGCAUUUUUUAGAUCAGCUUUUUUUCCUAGCAUUAAUAAGGCUCAUUCUGAGGGCUGGCUGUGUCUGGAGAAUGGUAAGUUACACUCUGUGUGUUUGCUUUCAAAAGCCAGCCUCCUUUUUGCAAUGGAAUCUGUUUGCUGUUCCUGUCUGCUGAAGCAGGAUAUUUAUGACAGACUAUCAUCUCAGGUUCAUUUGGUAUAGAGAACAUGUUAUACUGACUUUAGACACUUGAUGUUCCAGCCUUUGUUUUAGGAGUGAGUUUUUCCCCAGGCAUUUGUGUUUAAAAUACAGACAUUUGUAGUUAAACAAGAAGGUGCUUGAUUGGUAAGGAGAUGUCUCACAUCUUAAGAAAGCCUCCUCCUCAUACUUUCAGUAUUCAGAAUUCCUAUGAUGUUUUUCAAGAAAGAUAUAUUGGUUUCAGGUUUGUAGUUGGUAUUUAUUUCCUUUCUUUAUUUUUUUAUUUUUAUUUUUAAUAUGGUACUUUUCCCCUUGAUACAGACAUGAAGUCAGGUGUCUUAGCCAUACUAGUAGAGUUUUAGCUGUAUCUUUCAGCACAGUAUCUAUUAAAAAAUUCUCUUUUCAUUGCCUUUCCUGGUUUAGUCUUUGAAGAAUAAAACAUGGAGUUAACUAUUUCUGUUACUUCCUUUCUUCUAGCCUUCAGUGUUUCUUUUCUCCCCCCAGCAUCUAUAUAUAUUUCAGAGAAGACACUCUUCAACAGUUUUUUUUCUAACUCUGGUACUGAUUAUUUUUUGAAACAUUUCUUUCUUAUGUCUCUCCUGAUAAGAAGUCACACUUUGGUUUGACCUCUUUCUAAAAAUUGCAAAUGUCUACUUCUCUUUCUGACUUCUCUCUUCUUAUGGAUCCCAGGUAUUAUUCACCUACACUCCCUAACUGGGUGGACCUGCUCUGUCAAAAGCAUGUUUGGCCUGCUUUACUCAGAGGAGCAGAAUACUUUGGCUGGCUGAGGCUGGGGAAAGGAUGAGCUGAAAUCGCUUGCUUACUGCUUUCUUCUAUUACAGUUUCAUGCAGCCCGAUGCACGUGUCAGACCAGUCCACUGUGGUGGCUAACCCUACCCAGGAUCCUGCA